Molecule: ribosomal RNA, 595 nt
Filed under: uncultured Bacteroidota bacterium
Lineage: Bacteria; Pseudomonadati; Bacteroidota
Description: bacterial SSU rRNA
Rfam family: Bacterial small subunit ribosomal RNA
Source: RNAcentral
CAACCUGCCGUCUACUCUUGGACAGCCUUCUGAAAGGAAGAUUAAUACAAGAUGGCAUCAUGAGUCCGCAUGUUCACAUGAUUAAAGGUAUUCCGGUAGACGAUGGGGACGCGUUCCAUUAGAUAGUAGGCGGGGUAACGGCCCACCUAGUCUUCGAUGGAUAGGGGUUCUGAGAGGAAGGUCCCCCACAUUGGAACUGAGACACGGUCCAAACUCCUACGGGAGGCAGCAGUGAGGAAUAUUGGUCAAUGGGCGAGAGCCUGAACCAGCCAAGUAGCGUGAAGGAUGACUGCCCUAUGGGUUGUAAACUUCUUUUAUAAAGGAAUAAAGUCGGGUAUGGAUACCCGUUUGCAUGUACUUUAUGAAUAAGGAUCGGCUAACUCCGUGCCAGCAGCCGCGGUAAUACGGAGGAUCCGAGCGUUAUCCGGAUUUAUUGGGUUUAAAGGGAGCGUAGAUGGAUGUUUAAGUCAGUUGUGAAAGUUUGCGGCUCAACCGUAAAAUUGCAGUUGAUACUGGAUGUCUUGAGUGCAGUUGAGGCAGGCGGAAUUCGUGGUGUAGCGGUGAAAUGCUUAGAUAUCACGAAGAACUCCGAUUG